AGUUUGAAGAAGGGAUCAUUGGGACUCCCCAGUUGACAGACUCCAUAGUAUUACCAGAAAACGUGGAAUUUCUAGGGCAAAAGAUUGACCUCACACCCAUCAAGGGUUUAAUAACUUCUGUACAAGACACAGCAUCAUCAGUAGCAAGGACCAUUUCAAGCCAACCACCAUUGAAGAUUCCCAUCUCAAACAGCAAUGCUCAAUCAUGGUUGCUGACCACAUACCUUGAUGAAGAGCUUCGAAUCUCGAGAGGUGAUGCUGGCAGUGUUUUUGUUCUCAUCAAGGACGGCAGCUCACUCUUGACUCCCUGAAUGAAGUUGAUUUAAUGAAUCUUCCUCUUGAUUAUGGAAGUGCUGGUUUCCCAAUGAUAUGAUGUGAUUAUGCAAUAAUGUAUACAAGUGCGUGUUAUUAAAAUACGAAACAAUAAGC
Molecule: long non-coding RNA, 429 nt
Filed under: Manihot esculenta (cassava)
Lineage: Eukaryota; Viridiplantae; Streptophyta; Magnoliopsida; Malpighiales; Euphorbiaceae
Description: long non-coding RNA (MESC_LNC009358)
Source: RNAcentral